UACUCUCACACUCUCUGAUCCUUUGGAUUUGGGGAGCGGUGGACUUGGGUGCUUGCUGCUUCCUUGUGGCUCACCUGAAAUGCAUCAGUGCAUCUCUUGAUUAGACAUAGUACGGCGUGAUAAGUGUCUUCGCCGGCACCUCAUAAGAGGGUGGCUGAUCAGGAGCUCUGUGCUUUCAAACUGUCUUUGGACAACCCCUGACA
Molecule: unclassified non-coding RNA, 203 nt
Filed under: uncultured Sebacinaceae
Lineage: Eukaryota; Fungi; Basidiomycota; Agaricomycetes; Sebacinales; Sebacinaceae
Description: sequence contains ITS2
Source: RNAcentral